This 1247-nucleotide ribosomal RNA is filed under the name metagenome. RNAcentral describes it as "bacterial LSU rRNA". It matches the Rfam family "Bacterial large subunit ribosomal RNA", at positions 1564 to 2820 of the family's 2925-position model. The record is from RNAcentral.
UGAAUACGAGAUGCUACGGCGUCGAAGCAGUCUAUGUCAUACUUCCAAGAAAAGCUUGCACUGUCAUAAACAAAUAAUGCCUGUACCAUAACCGACACAGGUGGGUAGGUAGAGUAUACUAAGGGGCGCGAGAUAACUCUCUCUAAGGAACUCGGCAAAAUGACUCCGUAACUUCGGGAGAAGGAGUGCCUUAUUUAUAAGGUUGCAAUAACAAGAUCCAAGCAACUGUUUACCAAAAACACAGGUCUCCGCUAAGUCGUAAGACGAUGUAUGGGGGCUGACGCCUGCCCAGUGCCAGAAGGUUAAAGAAGUUGGUUAGCAUCCGCGAAGCUGAUAACUGAAGCCCUGGUGAACGGCGGCCGUAACAAUAACGGUCCUAAGGUAGCGAAAUUCCUUGUCGGGUAAGUUCCGACCCGCACGAAAGGCGUAAUGAUUUGGAUACUGUCUCGGAGAGGGGCUCGGUGAAAUAGACUUGUCUGUGAAGAUGCGGACUACCUGCACCAGGACAGAAAGACCCUAUGAAGCUUUACUGUAACCUGAAAUUGAAAUUGGACUUUACUUGCGCAGUAUAGGUGGGAGGCGUUGAGAAUAUUCUUGCGGGAUUAUUGGAGCCAUCAGUGAGAUACCACUCUUGUAAUGUUAGAUUUCUAACUUUGUAUCAUUAUCUGGUCAAAGAACAGUUUCAGGCGGGCAGUUUGACCGGGGCAGUCGCCUCCUAAACGGUAACGGAGGCGCACAAAGGUUUCCUCUGAACGGGUAGAAAUCGUAUCUAGAGUGUAAAGGCAUAAGGAAGCUUGACUGUGAGACCUACAAGUCGAGCAGGGACGAAAGUCGGUCUUAGUGAUCUGACGGUGCUGAGUGGAAAGGCCGUCACUCAACGGAUAAAAGUUACUCUAAGGAUAACAGGCUGAUCUCCCCCAAGAGUUCACAUCGACGGGGAGGUUUGGCACCUCGAUGUCGGCUCAUCGCAUCCUGGGGCGGUAGUACGUCCCAAGGGUUGGGCUGUUCGCCCAUGAAAGCGGUACGCGAGCUGGGUUCAGAACGUCGUGAGACAGUUCGGUCCAUAUCCGGUGUAGGCGUUAGAAUAUUGAGAGGAGCCUUCUUUAGUACGAGAGGACCGAGAAGGACAUACCUCUGGUGUACCAGUUAUCGUGCCAACGGUAAACGCUGGGUAGCUAUGUGUGGAGUGGAUAACCGCUGAAAGCAUCUAAGUGGGAAGCCCACCUCAAGAUAAGUAUUCUCAUAAG